GCCGGGCGUGGUGGCGCGUGCCUGUAGUCUCAGCUACUCGGGUGGCUGAGGUGGGAGGAUGGCUUGAGCCUAGGAGUUCUGGGCUGUAGUGAGCUAUGCUGAUCGGGUGUCCGCACUAAGUUCGGCAUCAAUAUGGUGACCUCCCGGGAGCGGGGGACCACCAGGUUGCCUAAGGAGGAGUGAACCGGCCCAGGUCGGAAACAGAGCAGGUCAAAACUCUUGUGCUGAUCAGUAGUGGGAUCGCCCCUGUGAAUAGCCACUGCACUCCAGCCUGGGCAACAUAGCGAGACCCUGUCUCU
This 299-nucleotide signal recognition particle RNA is filed under the name Aotus nancymaae (Ma's night monkey). Its description in RNAcentral is "Metazoan signal recognition particle RNA (ENSANAG00000014795.1)". It matches the Rfam family "Metazoan signal recognition particle RNA". Rfam says of the family: The signal recognition particle (SRP) is a universally conserved ribonucleoprotein. It is involved in the co-translational targeting of proteins to membranes. The eukaryotic SRP consists of a 300-nucleotide 7S RNA and six proteins: SRPs 72, 68, 54, 19, 14, and 9. The record is from RNAcentral. Lineage: Eukaryota; Metazoa; Chordata; Mammalia; Primates; Aotidae.